AGUGAACGCUGGCGGUAGGCCUAACACAUGCAAGUCGAACGGCAGCACAGUAAGAGCUUGCUCUUACGGGUGGCGAGUGGCGGACGGGUGAGGAAUACAUCGGAAUCUACUUUUUCGUGGGGGAUAACGUAGGGAAACUUACGCUAAUACCGCAUACGACCUACGGGUGAAAGCAGGGGAUCUUCGGACCUUGCGCGAUUGAAUGAGCCGAUGUCGGAUUAGCUAGUUGGCGGGGUAAGGGCCCACCAAGGCGACGAUCCGUAGCUGGUCUGAGAGGAUGAUCAGCCACACUGGAACUGAGACACGAUCCAGACUCCUACGGGAGGCAGCAGUGGGGAAUAUUGGACAAUGGGCGCAAGCCUGAUCCAGCCAUACCGCGUGGGUGAAGAAGGCCUUCGGGUUGUAAAGCCCUUUUGUUGGGAAAGAAAAGCAGCAGGUUAAUACCCCGCUGUUCUGACGGUACCCAAAGAAUAAGCACCGGCUAACUUCGUG
This 492-nucleotide ribosomal RNA is filed under the name uncultured bacterium. RNAcentral's name for it is "partial 16S ribosomal RNA". It matches the Rfam family "Bacterial small subunit ribosomal RNA", at positions 29 to 507 of the family's 1533-position model. The record is from RNAcentral.